Molecule: ribosomal RNA, 495 nt
Filed under: uncultured bacterium
Lineage: Bacteria
Description: partial 16S ribosomal RNA
Rfam family: Bacterial small subunit ribosomal RNA
Source: RNAcentral
GAUGAACGCUGGCGGCGUGCCUAAUACAUGCAAGUCGAGCGAACAGACGAGGAGCUUGCUCCUCUGACGUUAGCGGCGGACGGGUGAGUAACACGUGGAUAACCUACCUAUAAGACUGGGAUAACUGGGAAACCGGAGCUAAUACCGGAUAAUAUACUGAACCGCAUGGUUCAAUAGUGAAAGACGGUUUUGCUGUCACUUAUAGAUGGAUCCGCGCCGCAUUAGCUAGUUGGUAAGGUAACGGCUUACCAAGGCGACGAUGCGUAGCCGACCUGAGAGGGUGAUCGGCCACACUGGAACUGAGACACGGUCCAGACUCCUACGGGAGGCAGCAGUAGGGAAUCUUCCGCAAUGGGCGAAAGCCUGACGGAGCAACGCCGCGUGAGUGAUGAAGGUCUUCGGAUCGUAAAACUCUGUUAUUAGGGAAGAACAAAUGUGUAAGUAACUAUGCACGUCUUGACGGUACCUAAUCAGAAAGCCACGGCUAACUACGUG